GGACUUGUGGCGCAGCGGUAGCGCGUGUGAUUCCAGCAACGAGGACUUCGGUUCUCCGGUCUGAAUCCACAAGGUCAUCAGUUCAAAUCUGGUCGAGUUCA
Molecule: non-coding RNA, 101 nt
Organism: Xylariaceae sp. FL1272
Lineage: Eukaryota; Fungi; Ascomycota; Sordariomycetes; Xylariales; Xylariaceae
Source: the annotation of a GenBank genome assembly